This 489-nucleotide ribosomal RNA is filed under the name uncultured bacterium. RNAcentral describes it as "bacterial SSU rRNA". It matches the Rfam family "Bacterial small subunit ribosomal RNA", at positions 1040 to 1529 of the family's 1533-position model. The record is from RNAcentral.
GGUGCAUGGUUGUCGUCAGCUCGUGUCGUGAGAUGUUGGGUUAAGUCCCGCAACGAGCGCAACCCUUAUCUUCAGUAGCCAGCAAUUCGGUUGGGCACUCUGGAGAGACUGCCAGGGAUAACCUGGAGGAAGGUGGGGAUGACGUCAAAUCAUCAUGCCCCUUAUGAUUUGGGCUACACACGUGCUACAAUGGCGUAAACAAAGGGAAGCAGCCCUGUGAAGGUGAGCAAAUCCCAAAAAUAACGUCUCAGUUCGGAUUGUAGUCUGCAACUCGACUACAUGAAGCUGGAAUCGCUAGUAAUCGCGAAUCAGAAUGUCGCGGUGAAUACGUUCCCGGGUCUUGUACACACCGCCCGUCACACCAUGGGAGUCGGAAAUGCCCGAAGUCAGUGACCCAACCGUAAGGAGGGAGCUGCCGAAGGUGGAGCCGGUAACUGGGGUGAAGUCGUAACAAGGUAGCCGUAUCGGAAGGUGCGGCUGGAUCACCUC